AUGGAGUGGAACUAUCAGUAUGGGAGCAAACUAAAAUAUUCCAACGGGAUUGGACGGAGCACACCUAACCCUAUAUGGUGUCAGAUAUGGAAGUUAUCUUGUCCGGCUAAAGUCAAAAAUUUUUUAUGGCGGACACUACAUGGCACUCUUCCAUGUCGGGCAACACUCACUAAUAGACACAUGAAGGUCUCGCCCUCUUGCCCUACAUGCUCUCAGGGUGUAGAAGAUACGAAGCACUUUCUUUUCCUAUGUAGAAAAGCCAAGAAGGUUUGGAAAAGGCUAGGGUUGGAUAUGAUUAUUGAGAGAGCUUGUGAGAUUGAUCGUGCUGGAGAGGCAACAUUGGAGUACCUAUUACUCCUUCCAGAUCAAGAUCUGCGCAUUAUGGGGUACGAAAAUGUUCGAGAAAUGAUAGCAAUCUCAGCUUGGUAUCUAUGGUGGAAAGACGGAAAUUAG
This 453-nucleotide ribosomal RNA is filed under the name Triticum aestivum (bread wheat). RNAcentral describes it as "partial small subunit ribosomal RNA". The record is from RNAcentral. Lineage: Eukaryota; Viridiplantae; Streptophyta; Magnoliopsida; Poales; Poaceae.